This 253-nucleotide ribosomal RNA is filed under the name uncultured bacterium. RNAcentral describes it as "partial 16S ribosomal RNA". It matches the Rfam family "Bacterial small subunit ribosomal RNA", at positions 524 to 776 of the family's 1533-position model. The record is from RNAcentral.
UACGUAGGGGGCAAGCGUUGUCCGGAAUCAUUGGGCGUAAAGAGCGUGUAGGCGGUCCGGUCAGUCGGUUGUGAAAGUCAAGGGCUCAACCCUUGAAUGCCGGCCGAUACUGCCGGGCUAGAGUCCGGAAGAGGUGAGUGGAAUUCCUGGUGUAGCGGUGAAAUGCGCAGAUAUCAGGAGGAACACCGGUGGCGAAGGCGGAUCUCUGGGCCUUACCUGACGCUCAGGCGCGAAAGCUAGGGGAGCGAACAGG